UACGUAGGGUGCGAGCGUUAAUCGGAAUUACUGGGCGUAAAGCGUGCGCAGGCGGCUUCGCAAGUCAGACGUGAAAUCCCCGGGCUUAACCUGGGAAUGGCGUUUGAAACUACGGAGCUGGAGUAUGGUAGAGGGGGGUGGAAUUCCACGUGUAGCGGUGAAAUGCGUAGAUAUGUGGAGGAACACCGAUGGCGAAGGCAGCCCCCUGGGCCAAUACUGACGCUCAUGCACGAAAGCGUGGGGAGCAAACAGG
Molecule: ribosomal RNA, 253 nt
Filed under: uncultured bacterium
Lineage: Bacteria
Description: partial 16S ribosomal RNA
Rfam family: Bacterial small subunit ribosomal RNA
Source: RNAcentral